Molecule: ribosomal RNA, 253 nt
Filed under: uncultured bacterium
Lineage: Bacteria
Description: partial 16S ribosomal RNA
Rfam family: Bacterial small subunit ribosomal RNA
Source: RNAcentral
UACGUAGGUGGCAAGCGUUAUCCGGAAUUAUUGGGCGUAAAGCGCGCGCAGGCGGUUUCUUAAGUCUGAUGUGAAAGCCCACGGCUCAACCGUGGAGGGUCAUUGGAAACUGGGGAACUUGAGUGCAGAAGAGAAAAGCGGAAUUCCACGUGUAGCGGUGAAAUGCGUAGAGAUGUGGAGGAACACCGGUGGCGAAGGCGGCGACCUGGGUUGACACUGACGCUGAGGCGCGAAAGCGUGGGGAGCAAACAGG